RNAcentral lists this ribosomal RNA (420 nucleotides) under uncultured Coprothermobacter sp. RNAcentral describes it as "bacterial SSU rRNA". It matches the Rfam family "Bacterial small subunit ribosomal RNA", at positions 338 to 774 of the family's 1533-position model. Lineage: Bacteria; Pseudomonadati; Coprothermobacterota; Coprothermobacteria; Coprothermobacterales; Coprothermobacteraceae. The record is from RNAcentral.
CCUACGGGAGGCAGCAGCAGGGAAUCUUGGGCAAUGGGCGAAAGCCUGACCCAGCGACGCCGCGUGGAGGAAGAAGUCCUUCGGGGCGUAAACUCCUGGACUGGGGGACGAGAAAGGACGGUACCCCAGUAGAAAGGGACGGCUAACUACGUGCCAGCAGCCGCGGUAAAACGUAGGUCCCGAGCGUUGUUCGGAUUCACUGGGUGUAAAGGGCGCGUAGGUGGUUGUCUGUGUCUCAUGUGAAAACUCAGGGCUCAACUCUGAGAUUGCGUGGGAAACUAGGCAGCUAGAGGACGGUAGAGGGGAGUGGAAUUCCCGGUGUAGCGGUAAAAUGCGUAGAUAUCGGGAGGAACACCGGUGGCGAAGGCGGCUCUCUGGGCCGAUCCUGACGCUGAGGCGCGAAAGCUAGGGGAGCGAACC